This 253-nucleotide ribosomal RNA is filed under the name uncultured bacterium. Its description in RNAcentral is "partial 16S ribosomal RNA". It matches the Rfam family "Bacterial small subunit ribosomal RNA", at positions 524 to 776 of the family's 1533-position model. The record is from RNAcentral.
UACGUAGGGUGCGAGCGUUAUCCGGAAUUACUGGGCGUAAAGAGCUCGUAGGUGGUUUGUCGCGUUGUUCGUGAAAUCUCACGGCUUAACUGUGAGCGUGCGGGCGAUACGGGCAGACUGGAGUACUGCAGGGGAGACUGGAAUUCCUGGUGUAGCGGUGGAAUGCGCAGAUAUCAGGAGGAACACCGGUGGCGAAGGCGGGUCUCUGGGCAGUAACUGACGCUGAGGAGCGAAAGCGUGGGGAGCGAACAGG